This is a non-coding RNA of Rattus norvegicus (Norway rat), 19571 nucleotides long. The record is from RefSeq and is a predicted model, not a curated record. Lineage: Eukaryota; Metazoa; Chordata; Mammalia; Rodentia; Muridae.
AAUAAAUUAGUGGUCCCUACUCACUGUUAGCUACUGACCCCUCUGUAGAUGUGAGCUCAUGCUUUUUGACUUCGAAAACUAUGUUUCCCAUCACCCAGCACCAUACAAUACCUCUCUUAUCCAGCAUUCCACCAUGGAGUCAGUCUAAUAUUUGAUCAACUAUCAGUGGAGGAUGGCAAAGGUUUGGAGAAGUCUGGCUUCCUCCACAUCCUUAGAAACUUCUCAUCUGGUACCUAGAGGUGGUUCUCCCCUUAUUGACUUUGCCUCCAGAUUUACAUUGCAGUCUUCUACUAAGGACAUUAACUUUAGUGUAUAUUAAGUUUGUGUUAUAUAGGUCUGAUGUAAGAGUGACCUCUUAAGGUCCAUCCCUCAGCUCAAGCAGGUCUAUGACAGUCCCCAGGGACAAGUUCUUAUUUAUGUGUUCCAGGUCAUGCUGACACAGACUCCAUGACAGGACACAGAGGUCAGUCAGGUGAACCCGUAGGGAUGGGGGAGGAAGUUGAUUGAGUUGUACAACAGCACAUGAGAUUAGGCAAGAGAGGCCGUUAUCACCUUGUAAACGCACAAGGUCAUUUUUUUUCUUCAGAUCUUAGUCUUUCUUUCUGGAUCAUGCUCUGUCCUACUGUAGGAGGUUGGGUAUCCAUCGAUAAAAAUAUGAACUAUUGCUUCUGUACCAUCCUUUCUGUGAAGUUUAACUUCUGCUACUAAAGAGACACACCAUCUCAGUGUGGCCCUUGAUUUUACACACUGAAAAUAAGGAUUUUCUGGGUUCCAUGUGCAAACGUAGUUCAAGGGGAUAUUGGGUGGGAAUUCUUUUCCCCCAGCUCUUUGGAGUACAUAAAAUUUAGGAUAUGGAAAGCAUUAACUAGGUGGUUUGGGUUUUUUAUAAUGUGUGGCCAACUAGAAUAGGUUAAAGUGGGAGCUGCCAGAGAUAGUGGGGUCCUGUAUACCAAUCUCUCUCAGAGAUGCUGGUGAGGUGAGGAUUCUAAGUGUUCUCAAGUCAUCUACAUAGAUUCCAUAAAUAGCAACUGAGGCUUUUAGAAGCUCUUUUGAAAGACUCGGCAUGUAAAAGUGAAGUGAGGUAUGAUGCAUACUUGUGUGCACGCUGAGGGAAGGGAUCACAGCAUAGAAGAAUCACUCAGCCUAACGGUUAUAUUAUGGUUUGUUUCCAUUUAGUACAACUCAAUGUGAUCGGGGUUGCUGUUUCCACAGGAAAAAUAUCAGCCAGUGAAAAUCUAGACACAUACAACAUUGUAGAAAGACUUAAUAAGAAAUCUUUUCUAUAUAGUAACAUUUUGUGUAUCCAAGAUCAUUGAGAAAUAAGACUUUUUGAAUAAAUAAGGUGACAGAUCACUAACUCAGCCAUUAAAACUAAAAAGAGGAUUUAGAAUUUAGAACAAAGAAUUUAAAACAAAGACCUGUUUAGAUAAUAAACAUUCUAUGAUUGUGUAGCUAAUAACAUCUAGAGGUACUAUUAGGUACAGAGGCAAACAUCAGUAACCCCAGCAUUCUUGAGAAAAAACAGACGCAUGCAGAUUCAAGGCCAGCCCUGUUACAUACGGAGACCCUGAUUUAACAAAACAAACUCUGUUUCCAGCAGUUCAGAAGUAUACUUCUGGAACUGUUUGAGGGAGCAAUGACACGAGUCCACUCCUUUGAAAUGCCUAUCGACUCACUGAAGCAACAAGACUGCACUGAGAACACAGAGGAGACUUCUCCAGUCUGGCAGGAGCCCGCUCACGUUCGGUGGAUGUAAUCACCAGGAUCUCUGAGGCAGACUGCCUUAGUUUCUGCUGUUUGAGGUGGAAUCUUGGCCCUCAGCCAAAUCUGCAUUUUAGUAAUAAUUACGAAAGUUCCUUAAAAAUGAAUGGCAUUCUCUAGAUGGCAAUUUUGGUCUCUGCAAAGUUAGGGAGAUCAUCAGCUUUUCCUUAUUUAGUUUUUUUUUUUCCGGAGCUGGGGAUCGAACCCAGGCCUUGGGCCUGCUAGGCAAGUGCUCUACCGCUGAGCUAAAUCCCCAACCCUCGUCAGCUUUUCCUAAGGACGAGUCAGUAAGCACUGUGUAACCCAGGAGCAUCCUAGACGACUGACCCCGUAGUCCCACAUCCUUUCUGUUUCUAUCUCAGAUAAGAAGGACCAGGAUACGAGAAUUCAGGAAGAAAUGAUGCAGACCCUGAAGUCUGAGAAUGCUCUGCUUUAGAACUGACAAUGAUCUAUGACAUUUCAGUAUCUUAAAUGUACAUAUACAUAUUCUGUAUGUAUAUGUUAAAUAUAUUAUCAUAUGUUAAUGUUAAAUAUAUAUUUAUAUAGUAUAUACAUAAAUUGACACAGUAUAUAUAUAUGUAUAUAUAUGAUAAAUACAUAUUACACUAUAUUUAGAUAUGUAUACACACAUGUAUAGUGUGUAGCUACCUAGUAGCUUAGAGUUUGGAAAUAAAAGGGAAAGUUAGAGCACAGUACAAACAAUGUUCCUACCCUUCUCUCUUCAAAAUACUUAUUCUAUAAAAACACUUUUUUUAAAAAAAGUCAGAUUUUUAAUUUUAAGAAAAAUUUAAAAGAUAUAUUUUCAAAUAAGCCAAAAUGUUAUAAGAAAAAGAAAUGAUGAAAAUUAAAAUAAGCAAGAAAAAUUAUGACAAUGAACAUCAUUUUAUCAUAGAGAGAAAGUUGAUGAUGCAGAAAAUUUGAAUUAAUGUGGUUGAUGACACACUGUGGGAAAUAACUUGAAAUGCAGAAAAUAGCAAAGACAUUAAAGGUGAGAAGGGAAGAGUUGGGGACAACACUGGAACAGCUACAAGCUAUAAAAAGUAGGUAAACUCAAUUGUAAGUAAACUAAGGCAUGAGCAGUUAGAUAUGUAUAGCAAAAAUAUAUAACGGACAUUUAUCUCUAUCUCUAUAUCCCUUAUAUUUAAGAUGAAAGAAAACAAACAAAAUCAGUUCUAAGUUUAUUUAUUUAUUUUUUUAUUUUCAAACCGUGCAAGUAUAGCAUUAUCUUUGUACCAUUAAGUCCAUCUUUCUUCUUCUAAAACUACACACGUAUAAGACUACAAAGAAAACAAAAACAAAAAACCCUGAAACCUUAGAGAAAGGGAGACUGGCCUGGGAAGAGAGAAAGGAGAAGAGACUUAGGCUUAUGGUACACUUGUAAUACUAGCAUUCCCUCUGUGGGGAGGUAAAAAAAAAAGAAAAUCCUUGGGCUUCGCUGGUCAAUGAGCCUAGUCUACUAAUGUGAGCUCAGGGAAAAGAAGAGAUCUCAUCCAAUAAAGUGCAUGUUUCUCAAGAAAUAGCACCUAAGCUGUCCUUUGAUCUCCACGCUCAUACAUCCACCCGCAUGGGUAUUCUCACACAUGCACGCAAAACAAAAUAUAAAAGGCAAAAUUGAUGUUGAAACUUUGAAAAACAAACGAGAAUAGUGCGUUUUGAAGAUCAAUAAUGAAAGUUUAAAAUUGAAAUGAAAACAAAAGUUAAUCUUUCAUUAGAUAAAUAUUUAAAAUAAUGUAGCUGUUUCCAACUGGGUAAGAAUUCAUCACUUGACCAAGAAGAAGGAAAAUGAAAUAUAAGAAGGCAAAUAAUAUUAGUGUCAAAUAAUACCUUUACAUAAAGAAUAUGCAAACAAAAACUUGGUAUCUUGAUACAAACAAUCAGUUACAAUACUAUCGACUAUGCUAACAAACUAUUAUCACAAGGAUCAAUGGGAAAAGAAAUAAAGAAAACCUUGAUCUCUGUAUGCAACAUCCACUCCCGCUGAGCCACAUGGGCUCUAUAGUUCUGUUUCUUAUAAAUAAGUUCUUACAGGAAUUCAUGAAAUAUUUAUAAACACUGACCACAUAUUAGCAAUUACGAACCUCAGGGGUCCUUAAAGAGAAAUUUUAACAACGAUGUUUUAAUUAAAAAUGAUAUACGAUUUUAAAUAACAAUUCUUUUCUUACUGAACACUUUCUGGUUUUGGCAGUUUGGGGUUUAAAUUUUAGCUUUGUCCGGUCUUCUGACUUCACACCACUUAGGAGAGGGGGAGAUAGCUGAGCAGGGAGGACUUCGGGCUGAGAGGUCAUCCCAGGCACGAAGCCCUCCACUCAGAACAGCAGAUCUGGAGUCCCAUGAAAACUACAGAUUUGGGGAGAUAGAAAAGCUGAUAUUUUGAACUGUUAAUAACUUUGGGCACUUGACAAAGAAAACAGUGAAACAACAACAACAACCAAAUACUGUGUUCAGAGAAAAGGAGUAAACACAGAUUUUCCCCCCAAGGUACACACAUACCUAUGAUUUAUUUAAUUACAUUUGUAUCAAUGGUCAUUUAUGAAUAUUUUAUUUCCAUACAUCUUAAAACUUCUCUACAGAAAAUUUAUUUAUAUUUUUUCCCAAACAUUACAUUCUGACCUCAGUUUUACCCUCCCUUCAAUCCUCCCAGAUCCACUUGCCUUCAAAAAAAGGAGCUCCCCACCCCUACCAGAUAUUUCAAGCAAACACAGCAUAACAAGUUACAAUGAAAUUCGGUAUUUAUGGUCAUAUCAUGGCUGGAGCAGGCAACCCAGUAGUAGAAAAAGGGUCCCAAGUACAAGACAAAAAGUCAAAGACAACCUUGCUGACACUGAGGGGCCCCACAAAACCACCAAACUACACACCCAGAGCGUAUAAGCAGAGGACGCAGCACAAUCCCACAUGGGGCCAUGUAAAUUGAAGGCUUUAUUAAAACCAUAAAGGAAGAAGAUGCAAAACUCUUAAGGAAAUAAGCUUGAAAUAGUACAAUUAAAUGAAGGUUUCCUUAAUGUGACAUUAUAUCUAUAAAAAUUGGUUAUAAUGUUAAAAUAAAGCUGGUUGAAGGAAUUAUUAAGAAUGUAUUAAAUGAUUGUUAAAUCCCUGGUCUAGUGCCUAGGUUUUUGUGAUUUCACCAAUAUUUAAUGAUUUCAAAAAUCAAAACCCUACACACACACACACACACACACACACACAGAGCAAGAGAGAGAGAGAGAGAGAGAGAGAGAGAGAGAGAGAGAGAGAGAGAGAGAGAGAGAGAUAUUUAAAUUUAGAAGACUUAGGUGAGAGCUGGGAUGUAUGCAUAAAACACCUUUUCAGGAGUAGAAAUUUAAUAUGAUAAGAAUACCAAAUAAUUCACAAAGUGAGUCUGUCAUGUUUUCUGAUUUUAAAGAUCCUGGCAGAGGUUUUGGGGAUCCGGGAAAGGGACUCUCUAGAGUAAAACUGUUAAGCUCUCUGAUAGGAAGAUGUUCUGAAACUCUGCUGUGUAUGACAGGGUGACUAGACCUGUCUGGCUAGCCUGACAUUCGAAAAAUGCCCAAUGAGAUGAAAAUGAGAAUUCUAAUUGAAUUUAAUUUUAAUUAAAGUUAAAUAUCCACUAGAGAUUAAUGACAACCACGUUGCAGUAAGUCUGCAGCACAGCAUCCCAGAUUCUCAAGAUUAUAUAUAUAUAUAUAUACAUAUAUAUAUAUACACAUUGUCAAAUAUGUGAUAAGAUCACAACAGUGGACACAGUUGGUAGCAGUACAAUAGGAUAGUAGGCAGUAGAAACUCAACUAACAGUAAAGAAACUUCCUCAGAGGGAAGGAUUAAUUAACGGCAGAAGUUGAAAUAAUCACUUAGCCAUUUAGGAAGAAAAAUCAAUUGAGGGUCUUAUCUCAAGCAUUAUUUAAAAAAAUAAAUUUCAGAUUGUCUCUUAAGAAUUAACACAAAGGUAACCACGGGAAGCAAAAAAUGGGUUUUUAGUCAAGCCCGUGGGUAGGAAGUGAUAUUUAGAACAACACAGAGCUGUAAAUAGACACAUAACUACAGAAAAAUAUAAGUAACAAAAGAUCAUGAACCUAAAUACUUAACAUUUCUAUACAAAAUUUCAAAGACAGAAAUAAGGACACAGCAUAAGAAGCAGAUUUGUUGAACACUGAACCAUGUGUAACUGGUUACAUUGCUGACGAUGUCAUUAGGUGUCUCCAUUGUAGCUUGUGUGUGCUCUGCAGAAGAAAUGAAGGAAUGAGGGUUAUGCUUGGGGGUGGGGGACAAGAGCAAUGGAGCCAUUACCAGAACUGUUGUCUAUGGCAACAGGGAGAUACCCUCAAGGACUAGUUCUUUCUCUCCCACUCACAUUAAAUCACCCACUAGCUCCUUAAAGCACCUCCUUGUAACAAACCAAACUGACUGUCCACCACCUCUCUGCCUAGUUCAAGGCCCUCUGGUUUUUACCCAGCAUGCACACCAGCUUGCUUAAUAUCCAGUCCUCCGCUCAGCUAAGCUCUAGCUUGUGUACUUUUAAUUGAUUAAUUUUUUCAGCUUUUUGUAAAGCCAUAAAAAAGUAAAGAAAAUGUUCUCAUACAAUAAAAAGCAUUUAGGAAGAAUGAAUGACAUAUUGUAAUUGUAUUUAUUUAAAGAUUCGAGAAAGCUGUUUAGUGUUAUGCCUUGGCAAAUGUUGGCUAUUCGUUCACUGUAGCUCUGCUAGUAACAUUUUAGUGACCUAAUGAGUGUCUUUAUUUUAUGGCACCCUUUUUUCUCAUCUGUAAAAUAAUAAUGACAAUAAUCUUUUGGGUAGUGGUGUUUUGAUUGCUUUUAUUUAUUUUUUUUGAGAUUGCACAGAAAAUGGAAAGUAACCAUUUUUUCAGAUAAAAUGUUGUUCUAGUGUGUUUCCCCGUUGCUGUGAUAAAAGAGUGAGCCAAGCAACUUAACAGAAGGAAGUGUUCACCUGACUCGAAGUUAUGGCCCCUCAUCAAGUGAAGACAGUGGUAACUCAAGAUAUCGAUUUUUAAGAAACAGAAAAUACAGAAUUUGUCAGAUGCUUAUUCUUGGCUUCCUCACUUCUGGUCACCAGACCCUAUGAAGUCGCAGGCGUAAGUCUGAGAAACAACAAGAUGUGACAUUUGAAGACGUCUCAGCUCAGGUGGAUGUGGACUGCAGUGUCGGAGGGGAGCUAUUUCACACACUUAGAGGAGUAGAGCCUCUGCAGCAGCUUUGGCAAACACCAGCAUUUGAAAAGACAGCCUGAACCGUGAAAGAACUACAAAAAUCAAGUAAAAAAAGUCGAUGAACAUUUACUGUAGUAUCAAACAUUAGUCAUUGAUUUUAUGUACAUUGGUGUUUUGACUGCAUGCAUGUUUAAGGGUGUCAGAUACCCUGGAACAGGAGUUACAGACAGUUGUGAGCUUUCAUGUGGGUGCUGGGAAUUGAACUUGAGUCCUCUGGAAGAGCAGCCAGUGUCCUUAACCACUGAGCCAUAUGCCCAGCCCUCACAGUAUUGAAAUUGAUAGUGACAAUGAACAAAUGCCCUGAGAAACAUUUAAAAAGCCUUGGCCAAUGGUCAAUAUAAACACUGUGGUAAAAUUAUUUGGCUUUGAGUGGACAGUUAUUUUACUCUUAGUGUUCAAAGAAUGCUUUAUAUAAGUUAUAUAAAUUAAGGGAUAGCAGGUCUACACACUGGGAACACUGAAUCAUAUGAACAGGGUUCCUUCCCUACUAACAAACUUGCUCCUCAGAUACUUACCUUCUCAAUGAUAUCAAUACCUGUGAUUGAUGGGCACUCCAUAGAAGGGUAGAGCUAUCAGAUGGGACUUAUAAUAUGAAGGAAUGCAACCACAGUUUGGAGGGGAAAGUAAUUGGAUUACAAACUGGGAUGACACGUUAAAUGGUGGUCUGAAUAUUGGUUAGGGUAGAUGUUGGUUCACAGUGUAAGUCAAAACAAAAAGAACAGGUGAAGUUAUUUCUCAGUUGUACAUGGUCAACAACAUUUACACGCAUACAAAAUUUCCACUGAAUAUCACCUCGCUGUCAUAUUGCUUGGCAAUGUUGAAAAGCUGUGAAAUAAUAAGAACACACAUACUGUUAGACAGUACACAAGUUCACUUUCAUGAAGCUGGUUUUAACGUUAGUGAAUUUAGUCAGGCUCUUCAUUACAGUCUUUGAACAACAGCACGGGAGCAAACAAGCUGUUCACAGUGACCGAAGGCGUUUGUGUCCUCCCCACAAGAGCAGAUUAGCAAUCUGUUUUCCAGAUGUCGGAACUCAUCCACCUCUCUCCCUCCUUUUAUCUAAGAAAGGUCUGAUUUCCAUGCCAAUGUUCCUUGCCUUUCAAAGAGCCUUAGUCUGUUCCUCAUUGCCACACUCAGAAAGGCAACAUGGAAAUCUCCACGAAGAAAUAUAUAAGCCAUAGUGAUCUAACUCUUCCCAACUUCAAGGACUCAGCCUGAAUAGGUACAGUGUUCACUCCCACCGGGCCAGAGAAUGGUGGGCACUCACACUCCAGCAAAUGUAAAACAAGGACAUUCUUGUCAAGCUGCCUAGAAAAACUCUUUAAUAAGCACAACCCGGAAAGCACUCCAGUGGUCCAGGCUUGCAUACAGACCCUGAUCUAAUGAAACACCACAUCAACGGAGCAAUGCUCUGCCUGCCGCCCCCUUUCUUUUUCUCCUUCCAUCGGUUUUUGUAUCAUGGUCUCGCAUUACCUCAUCCCCAACAGUUCUGAGAAAUAUAGAUGACUGUGAGCCACAGAGCCACAAUAAAAUGUAGAAAUAUGGUGAGUUAGGAAGAUGGGAAAAUAUAAAAAAUUGACGUCGGUAAUGGAAAUGUAAUUUUGAAAAUCAUUAGCUUCAAUACUCGAAGGUGUGAAGCUUAAAAAUCAAUGAGGCACUUCAGACAUGAGCUUGAGCAGCUCUAAUGAGAGGCUACUCCUGUGUUUCAACCUCCGCUGUCUCCCUGAUGAGCUGUUUGACUUGUGUCUGCCUCCAAAAGUCUUGAGUGUCCGUUUCUCAUCUAUGAAACCAGGGUAAUCGCUUCUUGUCAUUUCACAUUAUGUGUGUUCCCAUAUGUGAUGGACUUGCAUGAUGGCUGGCACAGUAUUACUAUGCAAAGUUUGUCAGUGUAUUAUGUUGGAAUAAUCAUAGGCUGCCUUAGGAAAGAUGUUAACAAGAACCCCACUGUGGGAGAGGGAGGAGCAGAAGAUAGAUCAAUGUGGGAAAAGCAUGCUUAUUUGAUGUCUUGGAACUUAACUAAAAGGAGGGGAUAACCCUGCUAGAAGUCUCCCUGAAGUUCCAGAGCCUUUAUACAUUGCUCAAUAGGGGGUGAAUGAGAUUCCACGUCUUGUGUGGUUAAAAGGAAUUAGAUAAACUGUUUACCUUGCCAUCUCUAGGGUUAGUCUUUAAAUACUUUAGGAAUUAAAUUGCCCCCCCUACUUAUUUACAAGACUAUAAGAGGAGGGUUUCUAAUUAGAGAGGACACUUGGUUACACUAAAAGAUAAACCUUUGUUCCACAGAAAUAAAAAUAAACUUCCGUUUUAGAUAAGAAGAAGGCUCUCCAGUCUCCUUAGGAAAUACUCAGAGAAAGUGCAAACCGGGAGGAAACACAAACCUAAUGGACUCUGACAGACCAGGCCAGCUGCAGCAGAGAGGAAAGAUUCAGCUGAGCCCUAGGGACAUCUUUUCUGAAAACUCUUGCUUCUGUGUCAUGGAGAUAUGUAAGGACAGCAGUAGCCUGGACCAUACCCAGUAGAAACAAACUAAAGAUGUCUUCCCAUCCUGAAUGUUCAUUGACUCGUGAUUUCUACUCAAUUACAGAGUUCUAGUCAUCGACCUAACCCAGAGGCCACAGAAGGAAAAGGACCAGGAAAGAAUGUUUAACACAUACAAGUCUAAAAACUCAAAAGAGCUUGCAGGCUGGCAGAAACACAGGGGUCCCUUGUUUCAUGAUUCCCAACACUGUUUCACAGAGGCUAAACUGGUUUGAAAAUGUCGAAGGGAUGAAAAAUAUUGCUCAGAAUUCAAAUCACUUGAUGCCGCACCCUUUCAUUUCUUUUAUUGCCUCAAGGGUGGAAAAGGCAAGUUCUCCACGGUCUGGAGACAAGAGGAGGAGCCAACCUAAUGCUAAUGGGAUUUGUGCAGCCAGAGCUCACACCUGAAGACAUUCUUGCACACCUCAGCUUAGGACUUACCUGCAUCUGCAAAAUAGAACAGUAACAUGCAUCCUUGGACAAAGGAGCAUCAUACUCUUCUGACAUACGAUAGCUACUAAACCCUAAAGAACGUAAAACAUCUGGACUACCUCUAGACAGUGGUCAAUGCAGAACUUUCAAUAGAAUUUUGAAAUUCCAUAUCCAAGUACUUUUAGGAGUCACAGAAACAGAAACUAACAAUCAAAAACAGGAAAUACAGAAAAGUUACAUAUUUCCAGAGUUAUUGUGCAUGCUAAUAGAAAAAGAAACACAGUAUAUAAACACCUUCCUUGAAACAAAGGUGACUUCCUGGAGUUCGACAGAACAUCUUCCCAGUACUAAAGCAUCUCAGUAUCAUGAACGAGACUCAGAAGUACUCCAGAUCUGAUUUUAUAAAAUGUCCCUCUUCAAUAUAGAAUGCAGCAGAGUUGAAAAUAACAACUCUCAUCAGCUGAAGAUAAUUUUAAUUAUUGAAUCUACUACAGCAUCUUAUUUAAACUUUUUGUUAAGUUUAUCAGUCUUCAAAAUCUCCAAAAACAAUGCAUGCCACAAAAAAAAACCAAAAAUAUCAACUGUUUUCUUUAGAAAGUCUGAAUUUCUACCACACAAGACUGUCCACAAUGGGUUUGCCAAGGCCAGCUCCCCUUGAGAGAACAGGAGGCAUUUACUCCUAAGAAAGACAGUGAAGCAAAACUCUGUCUUUGCAUACAAGAAGCCUCCUUAAAGACCAGUCCAUAUCGAUAUGAACUGCCAGUAUCUUUACCCUAAAACUGUUUAACCUGCUCUCAAAUACCACAACUUUAUAUAUUUCAAAUGUUAUAUAUCCUAAAACAAUACCAUUAUUGCCAUUAACAUAUGCCACAGUUCAUAUAGUUACUUUUAUUAGAAUGCUUUCUAACUUAGCUUUACUGCAGAAUUUGAAGACAGUAUUUCUUUGUAAUAAUUUAUUUAAAAUCUGAGUAUAUUUCUCUUAACUUGGUUCUUUGGAUCUUUUGUUUGCUUAAUAUCAUAUUUUCCUCUUUCCUUUCUUUCUUCUUUUCUUUCCCUUCUCCCAUAACUACCUGUCUCCCUCUUUCCUUCUCUCUCUCCCCCUUCCCCUCCUCCACCACCAACACCUGCCCCUUCUCUCUCUCCUUUUUGAGACAAGGUUUCAUGUAGCUAGCUUUGAAUUUACUGUAGAGUCAGAGAAUCUCCUGCCGAACUUCAAAUCCGCUCCUGUUAUCUCACAAUCGCUAAGAUUAUGUAACUCAGUACCGCUAGGCUGGAGGAAUCUGGAAUUGAGGUUUUUGGGUGUGCUCACUAGGUAAGAGCUGUACCAAUUUCUUGCCCCUAAUCAUAACUGUGAAUACUGGGGUCAUUUUUAAUGAAAUCCACCUGUAACAUAGAAAAGAGCAAUAAGGACGUUGACUGACCUUUAUUUUUGUUUUUGUUUCUUUCAAUAAAGAACAGCUAACGAGAAACAAGCCCUUUAUCUUUCUCCAUUUGCACUAUACUCAUGUUAGAUAAAGAAACAGCCAUAUCUACAAUUAAUUCCCAAUUUUAAGGCUUCAAACAGAGCAUGGAGUUUUAAUAUUAAAGCCUACUCUCUAACACUACAAACUAACACUUAUUUAUAGCCUGACAUGUCUAAAGCUUCUCUUUUCAGUUUGUCUUUUCAUGCUGCAGAUAACUUGCUAAGGACAUUACAAUAUGGUCUCUCCAAUCAAAAUUAUGAUUGAUCAUGUGUGUGCCUUCAUUAAUAUUUUCUCCCCAUCAGUCUAUAUGGUAUGUAGUAUUGAAUAUACCACAUAGGUAAAAAUUAAUGUAGUAGUGGUAUAUAAUAUGUAUAAAAUUUUUGUUGAAUAUUACUUUUUUCUAGAAGGAGACUAAACAAAGAAAUAAUAUUUUACAAGUUAUGUUCUGUAAUGUGGCUCUAUGAAUACUGUUUAUAGUAUAGUGUAGGUACAAUGUAAUUAUUUCCCAAUAAGUCAUUUGAGAACUAUAAUUACUUUGAUUAAUUUACUUGUAGUAGUUGUAAGCCAUUUUUAUAAUUAAAGAGUAAGUUUAAAAUGAAUAGAUAAAAGCAACUGACUUUAAUUCCAUUUUGUUAACCUUCCUGUCUACAGGAAAAGGUAAACUUUGAAGAGUAAAGAUUGGGUUAACUUCAAAGCCAGAUUGACUCAGGCAAAAUAUGUUAAUUUAAUAAUGUUAUACAUACCAAAAUUCAUAGACUCUGCACUCUCCUUUUCAAGUAACUUAAAAGUUGGCCUAUAUCCAGGUUAUUUUCUUAAUAAUUUCCAAAGACAUCAAAUACCUUUAAAUUUACAUAAAAUUGGGAAAAACUCUAAUUUAGAAGUAAAAGUAAAUGUGUUAAUGUUAAAAGUUUAAGGGAAGCUGGCAAAAAUAAAUUAUAAAAUAAAUGUAUAAAACAUUUAAAUGCAUAUCAUUGCUUUAAACGGGAUAUAAUUUCUGAUGUGACAAGCUAUAAAAGUAAUCUCUUAGAAUUUAGAAAAUCUGAGCUAUAAUAAGCCUGUUUUCAUUUUACUAGAGUUUUGUCUCUAUCCUGUAACAUUUGAUUUAUUGUUCUGUGGCGUGCUUUGCCCUGCAGCAAUAUCGCUAUAUUUUGGAAGCACAAGAGUCACAUUGAUUGGAAGAAGUAGUGGGCUUCAGCAUGAAAUUCUGAAAGUUCUCCUAAGCCUGAGAUAUGCAUUCCUGUACCUUCGCCUGCACUUACAGGACAUAGUCCAUCCCUGUUUCCAGCUUCUGGCAUCUAAAAUUAGCCCCUUAUCUGCUCUUCUCAUCCCCGCCUCAUUCUUCAUUCCAUACUGCUCCCAACCUAGUAUCAGUUUAAAAAGUAAUAUCAAUUUAGACUAGAAUUCCAAAACUGCAAGUUCAGUUUAGGAGCAGAGUGUUUACCUUGGAUGGUCAAUGUCCUAGUUUUACCCUCUAGAUCUGGAGACAAAAUCAAAGCUGGGUUCAAUGUAUCCUUGUUAUACUUCCUUCCUUUUCUAGUCUUAAUCUUCAGAAGCAUGGCAUAACUAUUGAGACUAUGUUCUACGGUGCCUGCUUUGUCUGCCCUUUGUCCUGAGCAGUUCUAGAUUCUUUGCAGUUCCCAAGUGACAGAGGUGUCUUAACUCUUUGAAGCAGACCCCUGACUUCAAGAUAUUGUAUAGAAGGUAUACACUCAGUACCCAAGGAGCAAUGAGCUAAUUAUGACCAUGUAAUGGGGCUUCAGUUAAACACUGAUAGCUAAAGCUUUCAGAUGAGCAUCACAACUAGGGCCGAGAGAUUCCUGAUGUUAUGGGAAGUUGUAAGAUAUCCUGAACUGGUAUUGGGACUAGAAUUUGGAUUUUCUGGACGAGUAGCAAAUACUCUUAACUGCAGAAACAACUCUCUAGUUUUAUUUUAUGUAUUUAUGUUACGUUAUUUUUCCUUCAUGUAUUUAUGCAUUAUGUGCGUAUCACUGUACAUGUGUGGAGGUCAGAGAACAACUUGUGGAAGUCAGUUUUCUUUUUCAAUCCCUUGGGCCCUAGGAAUCAAACUCAGUCAGAAUUUGGUGACAAAUGGCUUCCAUACUGAGCCAGCUCACACACAAUUUUUCUAUUUAUUCUUUUUAAGUAUAACUUUGAUUAUUUCUUACACACCUCAAUCUUGCUUGUUGUUUAUAUAAAUUUAUGAAAAUUGGGUAUUUUGCCCUUUAUAACCUUUACAAAGCAUACAGCUUUAGGGUUACUUAGAACUGGAUUCAAAUCCAAACAUCUUUACAAAACAUCUGGAUAAGUUAAAAAACUGCUGCUAUCAGCCCAACUUUCCACAUGUUUAUUGUGAUAUGAAAACUGUAAUGUAUCAGGAUAUUUUUGGAAGAGAAAAACAUUGAGCCCACCUUUAAUUGGCUGGUGACCAAUGACUUUUAACAGUCACAGAAACAGAAUACCCCUACAUCUUGCCAAUCAAUUUCCAAAAAGCCUUGUCUUUUAUUGCGAUAUCCCUCCUUUUCACUUCACCGUCCUUGAUGUCUGUUUCUCUGUGAUGCUCUGUCCUUGACAAUUCUUCUUAUGCUUGCCAUUUUUCUAGUUGUCUGCUAAAACCAAACUAGGGUUACACUCCAAUGUGGUGGUAGAUUUCAAAUAUGAAAAUCGAGUUCCAGAUUCUAGUGCCUGGUACAAUUAGAAUUGACUGACUACCUGUCCUGUCUCACCUUAGACUCGCUCCUCUCACCCCUUACCAGUCUACAUUCUUUUAAUAUCAUUGCUUCGUUAAGUAGGCCAGACUGGAGUCACAGCACCCAUCCUAUGCCCACACACAAAUCGCUUGUUAAUGUGCUAAAGUUCAGUAUAUAAUUUCAAAACCUCUAGCCAACCUACACUGAUGGCUGCCUGUUUCACUUAGCACCGAUUUAGGGGAAUGGAUGCUCAUUAGUAUUACAUUAUUUAACAGAAUAUGUAUAUUCAUCAGGGCUUUACUUUAUUUUGUAGAAACUGAGGCAUAUAAAAGGUAGGUAAUUUGCUCAAGGUCACAGAGAAAUAAAUUUAUAAGGCAAAUAGCCACUCACCUAUGCUCCCUUGUGUAUGUAUUUCUUUUCACCAGUACCCUUCAACUUAAGAAUGGGAAGGAGAGAAUAGUAAGUACAUUGUGCCUUUCUUCCCAGCUUAUCCUCUCUGCCAAUGAAGGAAGAACAUCCUUGCUAUAGACUAAUCAUUGUAGCCCUUUUGCUGACCAAGGAAGAUCUAACAGUGAUUUACUUUGGAAUGGAAAGAAAAUAAUAUUUGCAUGUAUUUACAAUGUGCUUUUCUCAGAAAGGAUUUAAGGUGUUUCUCUAAGAUAUGUACAUUACUGACAGAUAAAGUAAAUUAAAAUAGGUAAAAUAUCAAAGCAAAUGGAAAGUUGGGGUGGAACAGAACAGUGAGUGCCCACAACCCAGGUCAUGAAUUUCUCAGGAUUUGCCAAGAGCAAGCUUGACGUUUGCUGCUAGCUACACAGCAGCCAAUGAAAACAGAGAAAUGUGAUAAAACACUUGAUUUUUCAACAAAAUGAAAACACAGUGGUUGCUUAGAAGAAGCCUAAACAUUGCCAGUAUUAGGAAUAGAGAGCAAUUACUUCCAUGUCAAUGGCCUGUCUAGAGUGUGUACAGAAAUGAGAAUCAAAAAGCAUGCAUCACAAAACUACACUAAAAUAAGCACAAUGUGUACAAAACAGAGAUUGCACACUCCAGUGCACCAAACAAUAUAGACUCGUUCAUUCACAACCCUUGGGCAGCUUCUUUUUUUUUUUAAGUUGAAUAUUCUUAUUUACAUUUCAAAUGUUAUUCCCUUUCCCGGUUUCCCAUCCAUAACUCCCCUAUCCCAUUGCCCUCUCUUUCUUCUAUAAAGGUCUUCCCCCUUCCCAACCACCCCCCUUUCCCGCCUCUCCACCCUGACAUUCCUCAACGCUGGGCAGUCCAGCCUUGGCAGGUUCUUCAGCAUAGUCUGAUUUGACUAUGGUUUGAAGUCUGACUCUAAUUUCCUAGCCCUGUAAAUCUAGGCAAGAUCUAGUUGGUCUCUUUAAUUACCAACAACAUGGAGACAAGAAAUAUAACUCAUAAGGCAUGGAAGAUUCUAGUCAAUAAACUUAAAAGUGCUUAGAAUACUGUCUAAAAUUAAGCUGCUGUGAUUGUUAUUAAAUAAUUAAUAUAUUUCAAGCUCCAACCUCCUAGGUGACAGGCAAACAUUAGGAGGAGUGAGAGAGGCUAGAAGAGAAAGUGUCCAGUCCUUCCUGUCAUUUAUCCAAUUAAGAAUUUUUUUUCUCUAAAGCUCUUUUAGCACAAUCGGCUGUUUAUUUGUUCUCAAUGUCUCCCUCCCCUCCCCAAGUCCCAGUCUUCAGUGUCCUCUCUGGUAGUAGGUGGAAGGUAGUCAGUGAUGUUAUAGGAGACAUCUCUCUUCUCUCUGAAGUCAUGGCUGCUUCCCAGGACCUACCAUGGGAAGUAAGCACAGACCCCACCUAAUGCUCAGUGAAUUGAUCUACUGGGGGAUGCUGCAGCUUAUCCUGUUAUUGGGAUGGACUGAGUGCUGAGUGUGGAGCAUGAAGGAGAAUUUAGACAUAAUGUCUUUCCUAUCUGGGCAAUUUUAUGUAGAAGGGAAGAAGUUGAGGAAGCUUCUUACCUAAGUACCUAUUUUCCUUCUCCUCUUCACUUUUCAUAAAGUCACCCAUGUUGUAGUCUCCGUGUUUUCAAUUCAAAAGACAAGGAUUUUAUAUUUGUUCUCUCUGUGUUUCUAUUCUUAAAACAAUGAUUCAUAACAGGCAGAAUGGAUGGCAGAGAGGUCAAAGCCUCCCCAGUUUGUGACAAGAGAGAGCAAGCCACUUAACCUUUGACAGAAUACCCUAUCACCGAUGAAUUUUUCUAAGCCUACAUCAGAAACAACAAAUUCUAUAGUUAUCCAGUACUAUGUGGUCCAUAUCUAAAGCUACAUCUUUACAAAUUAACACUUAGUCAGAUGAGGCUCAAGAUGAGGAAAGACAAGUAAUGGAUUAAAAAGAAUAAUAAUGUGUUUGCACGUGUUUAAAGAAUUUGAUAACACACUGGAACAUGGCUUAUUCACAAUUCUGAGUAGAAGACACAAUUUAAUGUGCUGGCUGAUUUAGUAAGAACACCAAAUGGUCUCUCCAAUGUUCAAUUCAAGUUGUUUUUAAACCACUAAAAAGGAUAAACAAAUUAUAUGAAAACCGCCUAAUUCUGAUACAAUCAGCACUGCCACGAAUAAAGUCCAAUAGAGGGUUUCAGAAAUUUUCAUGUUAAAACAAAACAAAAACCAAACCAAACCAAAAACACUUAGAAUAGACUUGCAAGGACCUUGAAAAUAUAGGUUUUAAGUAAACAUAUGGGACCUGUUGUUUUCACAUUUUAAUGUUUCAUUUUUUUAUAUAUUUACAUUAAAAGGGAGUCAUGAAAUCUUCAUACUUUAUGCCCAUCUUUUCUCAUACUUCCUAAAAUAAAAUCUCAAACUUCAUAAAGUAAACAUGUAUUUCAUAUCCAAAGAAUAUCAGGACUUAAAUAAUUCUUAAGGAUAUUAUUUCUUUCCUUUAAUACAGAUAAACAAACAAAAUAUUAAAUAAUACAAAUAUAUCAGCUUAGAUAUGUCACUCACCCAGAAUUCUAUUUCCAGAAUACAGUGACCCUAUAUACUUUCAACAAUUCCACUGAAAAAAUCCUCUGAAAUCAAAAUAAUCAACCAAGAAAUUUUUAAAAUCCUGUGAACAUGACCCUACAUGUUAUAAAACAUUCGUGAGUGGUGAUAAUGAACACCAGACUUCAAUGGUCAUGUGACUUGAAUAUUCGUCCCAUCUUCUCUAUGUCUUACCAUCCUCUGGUCUUGAAGGCUCAGGAGAAAUUCAGGGUCAAUCAUGAUAUCUUCCUUGACUGCUUACUUCCCUAUAUGCAUUCCUCUUUGGCUUACCACCCUUUUUGCUUCUUACCAGAUCUCUGUUCCUUUAAUACACCAAGGAUGUUUAAAUGAGAAAUGUAUGCCAUAGGUUUAUAUAUUUGAAGUUAUUGACUCAAAUUCUUGUAUUUGAAUUCUUGGUCCCCAGUUGAUGGCACUGUCUAGGUAAAUUAAAGAAUCUUAAGGAAGUGGAACCUUGCUAAAGGGAAUGUAUUACCGAUGUGCAGAACUUGAGGUUUUAUAACCCUGUCCCACUUCCAGUUCUCUGUCUCUGUCUCUGUCUCUGUCUCUGUCUCUGUCUCUGUCUCUGCCCGACUUUACCUCUGUCUGUCUUCAUGUCUUCCCUAACAUGGUGGACUCUAUUCAUCUGGAACAUUAUGCCAAAAUAAACCCUUUUCUCCUCUAUGGUUCUCUGGCUACUGGUAUUUUUAUCAUAUAAAACAGAAAAGGAAUCAAUGCAUGCACAUUUCUUCCUAAUUAAAUGUUUUUAAGAUACCCUCUAUAUGGAGAAAACAGAGUUCUGACACCACUUACUAUGUUCCACAACUUUAUAUUCUGCUCACCAUUAUCAUAGUCAAAUCUUAAAACAGAUGAGGCAGCAGGGAUGAGGUGAUUGCUCAGUGGGUAAAGUAUUAGCUAUGCAACCACGAAGCCAUGACUUGGCAAACCAAACACCAGUGCACAGACUGCUCGUUAUGAAGCGGGUCGGUAACACAAGUCCUAGGAAAACAGGCAAACAGCUCCCAGGGGCUCAGUGACCAGUCAUUCCAGCCAAAACAGUGAACUCCAGGUUCACCGACAAGUCCCUGUCCCCAAAAAUUAAAGUCAAGAGCAAUAGAGGAAUCUGCUGGCUGUAGAGGUUAUAAAUCCUAAGGCAGGAUCUACUACAAAUAUAGAUUAAACCAGUCCUAAUGACUUAAUGCUAUGUCCAUAGGUUACUGGAUCUCCCAACCAUUCUUCAGGGAUGCCCUUCUUUGCAGUAGAAGGCAAGUACCACAGAGAUCCAUAAGUGGCCAAGAUACAGAACAUAAGACUGUGGUAUGUUCAGCCAUAAAAUGACAUCUGUAACAGAGAGAGAGAGAGAGAGAGAGAGAGAGAGAGAGAGAGAGAGAGAGAGAGACAUACACAUGGAAACACACACAGAGAAACACACACACACAUACACACACAGAGAGAGAGAGAGAGAGAGAGAGAGAGAGAGAGAAACACACACACAGAAACACAGACACACAGACACAGAAACAGAGAGAGAGACAGACAGGCAGGCAGACAGACAAACAGAGACACAGAGACAGAGACACAGAGACAGAGAGAGAAGGAGGGAAGGAGGGAGAGAGGGAGAAGGGAGAGAAGAAGGGAGGGAGGAAGGAGGGAAAGUAGGCAAAGACAGAAAGAAAGAGAUGGAGAAAGAAACAGGGAGGAAAUAAGAAAAAUAAAUAAAUAUAAAAUAAUAGAACUUCAUUUUAUAUAUGAUACCAUAUCUACAAUUUAGUCUUUCACAAUAGUUCUGUGGAAAUAUGAAACAGUAAUACUGCCUCACCAAAUAGACUACCACCAUUCAUCUAUAAGACCUUUUCGUUCUCUGAUUCAAAUUUUGUCUGCCUCGCAGAGAUGUCUUUGGAGAAAAUUAUAUAUUUAAACACAUACAUGAAAUAUACAUACAUUCAUCUAUAUGUAAAACAUUUUAAAUUUGAACACAGUUCAUAUGUUUCAGCUGUUAAUGUUCUCAAAUCUCUGUUAAAGACCUGCUGUUGAACACACAGACGCUUUCUGAUUCAUCACAAGGGAAGUGGUCACCCUCUCAAUAAGUUGGAUGAAAAUGACUUUUGAAGUCUGAUCUUUCUCUUCCAAGUGAUAUUUUAGAAAGCUUUGAAAAAGCAGGACAUUGAAAGAUUAGUUCUGUUACUGGGUACUUUAAAAAUCUUUACUUAGAAGACAAGAGAAAUGAAGCAAUGUUGAAGCUGUGAUUACUUAUCAAAAACAAAAGCAAGAGAUAAGGACUCUUGCAAUUUGCAAAACAGUUCUCAUCAUCCUCUGCAUUUUGGUUAGUGCAGAUGGAGUGGUCUCACUGUUGUAUAGCACAGAAAACCAGAUAUAUGAUGUGUCCCCAACUAAUGCUGAUGGUUUGAGAAAUCCUAUCUCCAUCUGGAGGGCACGUAGCCAAUUGUGCAUUCCAGACUAGCUCUUAGCUCUUAGUGACCGGCUUUAUAUUAGAAAAAAAAAUAGCACAAACUGUAGAGAGGUUUUUCCCACAGCUUGAGAUAUG